GAGAGUUUGAUUAUGGCUCAGGACGAACGCUGGCGGCGUGCCUAAUACAUGCAAGUAGAACGCUGAAGGAGGAGCUUGCUUCUCUGGAUGAGUUGCGAACGGGUGAGUAACGCGUAGGUAACCUGCCUGGUAGCGGGGGAUAACUAUUGGAAACGAUAGCUAAUACCGCAUAACAGUAGAUGUUGCAUGACAUUUGCUUAAAAGGUGCAAUUGCAUCACUACCAGAUGGACCUGCGUUGUAUUAGCUAGUUGGUGGGGUAACGGCUCACCAAGGCGACGAUACAUAGCCGACCUGAGAGGGUGAUCGGCCACACUGGGACUGAGACACGGCCCAGACUCCUACGGGAGGCAGCAGUAGGGAAUCUUCGGCAAUGGACGGAAGUCUGACCGAGCAACGCCGCGUGAGUGAAGAAGGUUUUCGGAUCGUAAAGCUCUGUUGUAAGAGAAGAACGAGUGUGAGAGUGGAAAGUUCACACUGUGACGGUAUCUUACCAGAAAGGACCGGCUAAUUCCGUGCCAGCAGCCGCGGUAAUACGGAAGGUCCAGGCGUUAUCCGGAUUUAUUGGGUUUAAAGGGAGCGUAAGCGGAUUAUUAAGUCAGUGGUGAAAGACGGUGGCUCAACCAUCGUUAGCCAUUGAAACUGGUAGUCUUGAGUGCAGACAGGGAUGCUGGAACUCGUGGUGUAGCGGUGAAAUGCUUAGAUAUCACGAUGAACUCCGAUCGCGAAGGCAGGUGUCCGGGCUGCAACUGACGCUGAGGCUCGAAAGUGUGGGUAUCAAACAGGAUUAGAUACCCUGGUAGUCCACACAGUAAACGAUGUAUACUCGCGGUUUUGCGAUAAAGUGUAAGCCGCCAAGCGAAAGCAUUAAGUAUACCACCUGGGGAGUACGCCGGCAACGGUGAAACUCAAAGGAAUUGACGGGGGCCCGCACAAGCGGAGGAACAUGUGGUUUAAUUCGAUGAUACGCGAGGAACCUUACCCGGGCUUGAACUAAGAGUGACGAAUCUAGAGAUAGAUUUUUCUUCGGACACUCUUGGAGGUGCUGCAUGGUUGUCGUCAGCUCGUGCCGUGAGGUGUCGGCUUAAGUGCCAUAACGAGCGCAACCCUUUUCCUUGGUUGCCAUCAGGUAAUGCUGGGCACUCCAGGGAUACUGCCAUCGUAANAUGUGAGGAAGGUGGGGAUGACGUCAAAUCAGCACGGCCCUUACGUCCAGGGCUACACACGUGUUACAAUGGGGGGUACAGAAGGUCGCUACCUGGUGACAGGAUGCUAAUCUGCAAAACCUCUCUCAGUUCGGAUUGGAGUCUGCAACCCGACUCCAUGAAGCUGGAUUCGCUAGUAAUCGCGCAUCAGCCAUGGCGCGGUGAAUACGUUCCCGGGCCUUGUACACACCGCCCGUCAAGCCAUGAAAGCCGGGGGUGCCUGAAAUGCCGUGAUCCGGAAGGGUCGGCCUAGGGUAAAACUGGUGAUUGGGGCUAAGUCGUAACAAGGUAGCCGUACCGGAAGGUGCGGCUGGAACACCUCUCUUC
This 1530-nucleotide ribosomal RNA is filed under the name Prevotella sp. oral clone ASCD07. RNAcentral describes it as "bacterial SSU rRNA". It matches the Rfam family "Bacterial small subunit ribosomal RNA". The record is from RNAcentral. Lineage: Bacteria; Pseudomonadati; Bacteroidota; Bacteroidia; Bacteroidales; Prevotellaceae.